UACGAAGGGGGCUAGCGUUGCUCGGAAUUACUGGGCGUAAAGGGCGCGUAGGCGGACAGUUUAGUCAGAGGUGAAAGCCCAGGGCUCAACCUUGGAAUUGCCUUUGAUACUGGCUGUCUUGAGUUCGGGAGAGGUGAGUGGAAUGCCGAGUGUAGAGGUGAAAUUCGUAGAUAUUCGCAAGAACACCAGUGGCGAAGGCGGCUCACUGGCCCGAUACUGACGCUGAGGUGCGAAAGCGUGGGGAGCAAACAGGGAUUAAGAAACC
RNAcentral lists this ribosomal RNA (265 nucleotides) under uncultured bacterium. RNAcentral describes it as "partial 16S ribosomal RNA". It matches the Rfam family "Bacterial small subunit ribosomal RNA", at positions 524 to 787 of the family's 1533-position model. The record is from RNAcentral.